AUUGAACGCUGGCGGCAGGCCUAACACAUGCAAGUCGAACGGUAACAGGAAGAAGCUUGCUUCUUUGCUGACGAGUGGCGGACGGGUGAGUAAUGUCUGGGAAACUGCCUGAUGGAGGGGGAUAACUACUGGAAACGGUAGCUAAUACCGCAUAACGUCGCAAGACCAAAGAGGGGGACCUUCGGGCCUCUUGCCAUCAGAUGUGCCCAGAUGGGAUUAGCUAGUAGGUGGGGUAACGGCUCACCUAGGCGACGAUCCCUAGCUGGUCUGAGAGGAUGACCAGCCACACUGGAACUGAGACACGGUCCAGACUCCUACGGGAGGCAGCAGUGGGGAAUAUUGCACAAUGGGCGCAAGCCUGAUGCAGCCAUGCCGCGUGUAUGAAGAAGGCCUUCGGGUUGUAAAGUACUUUCAGCGGGGAGGAAGGGAGUAAAGUUAAUACCUUUGCUCAUUGACGUUACCCGCAGAAGAAGCACCGGCUAACUCCGUGCCAGCAGCCGCGGUAAUACGGAGGGUGCAAGCGUUAAUCGGAAUUACUGGGCGUAAAGCGCACGCAGGCGGUUUGUUAAGUCAGAUGUGAAAUCCCCGGGCUCAACCUGGGAACUGCAUCUGAUACUGGCAAGCUUGAGUCUCGUAGAGGGGGGUAGAAUUCCAGGU
This 657-nucleotide ribosomal RNA is filed under the name uncultured Escherichia sp. Its description in RNAcentral is "bacterial SSU rRNA". It matches the Rfam family "Bacterial small subunit ribosomal RNA", at positions 28 to 674 of the family's 1533-position model. The record is from RNAcentral. Lineage: Bacteria; Pseudomonadati; Pseudomonadota; Gammaproteobacteria; Enterobacterales; Enterobacteriaceae.